UUCCUCUUGCAAUGGCCAAAGACACACCUCUUUGGUGGUGUUUUUAUAACAGUCAGAGGCAAAGCAAGUGGUGGCCCCUUGUUCAUCCCAGCUCUACGCCUGGCUUCGUGGCCAAAGCUGUUUUAUGCAUAGAACACAGAA
Small nucleolar RNA from Rattus norvegicus (Norway rat), 141 nucleotides. Ensembl annotates it as small nucleolar RNA SNORA48. Lineage: Eukaryota; Metazoa; Chordata; Mammalia; Rodentia; Muridae. The record is from Ensembl.